GAACGAAAAUCCGUUGGUUUCACGGGACCGUGAGGGUUCGAAUCCCUCUAUCCCCAGCA
Molecule: transfer RNA, 59 nt
Filed under: Hovenkampia schimperiana
Lineage: Eukaryota; Viridiplantae; Streptophyta; Polypodiopsida; Polypodiales; Polypodiaceae
Description: tRNA-Leu
Source: RNAcentral